RNAcentral lists this ribosomal RNA (459 nucleotides) under uncultured bacterium. RNAcentral's name for it is "partial 16S ribosomal RNA". It matches the Rfam family "Bacterial small subunit ribosomal RNA", at positions 338 to 795 of the family's 1533-position model. The record is from RNAcentral.
CCUACGGGUCGCAGCAGUGAGGAAUAUUGGUCAAUGGGCGCGAGCCUGAACCAGCCAAGUCGCGUGAGGGAAGACGGUCCUAUGGAUUGUAAACCUCUUUUGUCGGGGAGCAAAAGACGCCACGCGUGGCGUUCCGAGAGUAACCGAAGAAAAAGCAUCGGCUAACUCCGUGCCAGCAGCCGCGGUAAUACGGAGGAUGCCAGGGUUAUCCGGCUUUAUUGGGUGUAAAGGGUGCGCAGGCGGAAGCUGAAGUCAGCGGUAAAAUUGAGAGGCUCAACCUCUUCGAGCCGUUGAAACUGGUUGUCUUGAGUGCGUGAGAAGUAGGCGGAAUGCGUGGUGUAGCGGUGAAAUGCAUAGAUAGCACGCAGAACUCCGAUUGCGAAGGCAGCAUACCGGCGCUCAACUGACGCUCAUGCACGAAAGUGUGGGUAUCGAACAGGAUUAGAUACCCUGGUAGUC